RNAcentral lists this long non-coding RNA (363 nucleotides) under Nicotiana benthamiana. Its description in RNAcentral is "long non-coding RNA (NBEN_LNC022205)". Lineage: Eukaryota; Viridiplantae; Streptophyta; Magnoliopsida; Solanales; Solanaceae. The record is from RNAcentral.
CCUGAACCAUAACUCACAUUCAGAUGGGUAAAGUGUAAAGGGAUUCGCAUAGAAACAAUAAUGACAAAGUAGUAGAAAAAUAGUAAAGGAAAGCAUAGUAGAACUAGGAUGUAAAACACAUAGUGGAGGGGCAAUAUUUAAACAAAGAUGGACAUACCAGCUGCAAAGUAACAAAAUAGAAUAGUAGAGUAACCACAGCAAGCAAACAGCAGAAACAACUCAGGUUUUUAGCAGAACGCUCGAAGAUUCAAAGAAAACUCAAAGGUGUUUCAGAAAGCAAAGAGGAAAAGUACAUGGAACUGGGCUGUGUAUUUGAGACAAGAAGAGAUAGAAAACAGAUUGCCUAUUAUUGAGUGUUAUUCC